GACGAACGCUGGCGGCGUGCUUAACACAUGCAAGUCGAACGGAAAGGCCCUGCUUUUGUGGGGUGCUCGAGUGGCGAACGGGUGAGUAACACGUGAGUAACCUGCCCUUGACUUUGGGAUAACUUCAGGAAACUGGGGCUAAUACCGGAUAGGAGCUCCUGCUGCAUGGUGGGGGUUGGAAAGUUUCGGCGGUUGGGGAUGGACUCGCGGCUUAUCAGCUUGUUGGUGGGGUAGGGGCUUACCAAGGCUUUGACGGGUAGCCGGCCUGAGAGGGUGACCGGCCACAUUGGGACUGAGAUACGGCCCAGACUCCUACGGGAGGCAGCAGUGGGGAAUAUUGCACAAUGGGCGGAAGCCUGAUGCAGCAACGCCGCGUGCGGGAUGACGGCCUUCGGGUUGUAAACCGCUUUCGCCUGUGACGAAGCGUGAGUGACGGUAAUUGGUAAAGAAGCACCGGCUAACUACGUG
Molecule: ribosomal RNA, 468 nt
Filed under: uncultured bacterium
Lineage: Bacteria
Description: partial 16S ribosomal RNA
Rfam family: Bacterial small subunit ribosomal RNA
Source: RNAcentral